GUGCCAGCAGCCGCGGUAAGACGAACCGUGCGAACGUUGUUCGGAUUCACUGAGCUUAAAGGGCGCGUAGGCGGCUUGCCAAGUCAGGGGUGAAAUCUUUCGGCUCAACCGGAAAACAGCCCCUGAUACUGGUGAGCUGGAGGGAGGUAGGGGCGGAUGGAACUUCCGGUGGAGCGGUGAAAUGCGUAGAUAUCGGAAGGAACGCCGGUGGCGAAAGCGAUCCGCUGGACCUCUUCUGACGCUGAGGCGCGAAAGCCAGGGGAGCAAACGGGAUUAGAUACCCCCGUAGUCC
RNAcentral lists this ribosomal RNA (292 nucleotides) under uncultured bacterium. Its description in RNAcentral is "partial 16S ribosomal RNA". It matches the Rfam family "Bacterial small subunit ribosomal RNA", at positions 505 to 796 of the family's 1533-position model. The record is from RNAcentral.